RNAcentral lists this long non-coding RNA (1091 nucleotides) under Sus scrofa (pig). RNAcentral's name for it is "lncRNA (ENSSSCG00015015256.1)". Lineage: Eukaryota; Metazoa; Chordata; Mammalia; Artiodactyla; Suidae. The record is from RNAcentral.
CCCAUAGCAUUGCCACGCAAUGCCCAUGGUAUCCUGCCCACUGGGUCAUCCAUGCCUGAGGCCCACUGGCUCUUCCUGCCCACGGAGCCCUGGCCGCCAGUGGGGACCUGUCACCAUUCCUCCUGUGGCCUCUGACCUACCUUCCCUCUGUCCUGCCCGGGAGCCCUGCAUGUUUACUGUGACAGCUGCUUGCUUAUCUUCUCAGGCUCCCUCCCCGUGAGGUCAGCACCCAGCUUGACAUCAGAAUGCUGCCGGGGGGGUGGGGAGGACACUGUGUCAGCUGCACAGCGCUGCCCUCUGCCCUCUGCCCCCCGCCCUCUGCCCACCAGCCUGGAGGAAGAGUGUCCACCUGCCACCCGCCAAGGCUGACUGCCUGAAAGAGCAAACUGCUGAGUUACAAAAUCACAGGGCCCUCAGAUCAGGGACUCUGGGUCGGCUCACCCCCUUUGCAGAUGGAGAAACUGAGGCCGGAGGGGGGCAGCAGCCUCAGCCUCUGAAGGAGCUCGGACUCAGGCUCGGUGAGCCGCGCUGUGUGCCGGUCCUGGCGGCGGCAAGGAUCCAGCUCCGCGAGCAGAGCUGGGCCCAGAGGGUCCGAUCAUCCCAGAAGCAGAGGCAGAUUCCUCCAUCGGCAACCAGAGUGACAGGAAGACCUGUUUUUAUUCUGGAAACCACCAAAAAAUCCUCAAACCACCAAACACAAAGAUAAGCAAGGAGCCUUUCAGCCCUCUCUCAGAUGCCCUAAUGUCUCAGGGCCCUGGAGCUUUGUUUACGUGGCUGGGCAGAGAGGCAGCUGUCCCCACCUGGGGUCCCUUGCUUGCCAGGCUGCCGCUCAGGGUGAACGUGACAAGGGACUUGGGCAGACAGUCCAGGGGCAGGGAAAUGUCCGAUUCUUGCCUCUCAUCCUCAGGACUUCUCACGGGAAGCGGCUGUGGUUUUAGGAGCCGAGAUUAACCGUGGCAUCUGGACCUGUAAGGAGGAUGGCGACGCUGCGGGAGGAAAGGGAGUUCCAGCGAAACUCCUGGAACGAGCUGAUCUUCCACUCUUUCUCUCAGCAGCCAGCGGGCUCCUUUUAAAAAGGAAAUCUACAUUUU